This 72-nucleotide transfer RNA is filed under the name Nannochloropsis salina CCMP1776. It matches the Rfam family "tRNA". Rfam says of the family: Transfer RNA (tRNA) molecules are approximately 80 nucleotides in length. RNAcentral also lists the same sequence under 1 other name. Lineage: Eukaryota; Eustigmatophyceae; Eustigmatales; Monodopsidaceae. The record is from Rfam by way of RNAcentral.
UGGGGCGUCGCCAAGUGGUAAGGCAACGGACUUUGACUCCGUCAUUCGUAGGUUCGAAUCCUCCCGCCCCAG